AAAAUAAUUAUUAAAAAGAAAAUAUAAAAUACAAAACAUGGGGUACAUAAAAUAAACUUAUGAAAGAAAAAAAAUUAGAAAGAAGAUUUCUGUUUCUAUAAAAAUGUCAAAAAUAAAUGGGGGGAUAAAUCUCACUAGAAAAAUUCCUGAGUUUCAAGUAGUUUAGCCAUCUAGUUUUUAUCUUUCAAGGGAUGAGGGUGCUAUUUUACGAAGCAGCAGCCACCAAAGAUGAAUCAUGUUCUAAGAAAAGAAAUUUUGAUGGCAAAAAAAGAACUCGUGGACUCGGCAGAGAGAUUUAGUUGAAAGUGAAUGGCUUUUGUUUGGGGUGCUAGAACAAGUCAUGUUCGACUGAUUUUGCCUUCUUCAAUUACCUUCCACACCUUCGACUGAUUUUUCCUUCACUUUCCAAAACUUACGAACAUGUGCUAAUUAAAUUUGGGGAAAUUAAAAUCAUGCGGUAGUUAAUAGUUAUAAGGGAAUUAUAAGAAAAACAUUAGUUAAAUUUGGAGAAACAGAUGAAUUGAUGGUGUGUUA
RNAcentral lists this long non-coding RNA (534 nucleotides) under Medicago truncatula (barrel medic). Its description in RNAcentral is "long non-coding RNA (MTRU_LNC002173)". Lineage: Eukaryota; Viridiplantae; Streptophyta; Magnoliopsida; Fabales; Fabaceae. The record is from RNAcentral.